GAGGAUAUAGCUUAAGUGGUAGAGUACAUGCUUAGCAUGCACGAGGUCCUGGGUUCAAUCCCCAGUACUUCCU
This 73-nucleotide transfer RNA is filed under the name Camelus bactrianus (Bactrian camel). It matches the Rfam family "tRNA". Rfam says of the family: Transfer RNA (tRNA) molecules are approximately 80 nucleotides in length. RNAcentral also lists the same sequence under 2 other names. The record is from Rfam by way of RNAcentral. Lineage: Eukaryota; Metazoa; Chordata; Mammalia; Artiodactyla; Camelidae.